CGCUCACUGUAUAUAUUUUGAAACGUACAAUCAUUAAUUUGUUUGGCUUUAAACUUUGGCUUUAAACAAUGUCAACACAAUACUAUAAAGUUUAAUUAAACGGAGAAAAUAUUAUAUGGAAAAAGGUUUUGAAUUUUCAACUCCAUUUUUAUGUAAUUUCCUUCCUUGGAGGAUUUAGGUUUCGUCCUUUUUGUCAACUGUUUAAAGCGGUAAUGGAAAACCGUUUUAUCAGUCCUGAUCCAGGACUCCGCUGAUCGUCGCCUGAUAUAAAAAAAAAUUGGUUUCGAUGAUGACCGUCGAUGGUAACCAGCCGGCCACGCACGCUUCCACCGGCGACCGUCGACCGCAGAUAGCAACUGAACAUGCCUUAUCGCUCGCCAUAUUUUCUCGCUAAUACAAACACACCAAGAGGCGUCCCCGAGAAAAUUACACCGCACUGAAUUAUGUGCUCAGGACGUUGUUCCGCCCCGAGGUAGUAAUUCAACGGCUUCGGACGGCCGACGCGACGUUUAUUAACGGGGCGCGAACCCUCCACCGGCCGAGAGUACGUGGACAGCACUCUGUCAAUAUUUGCUCGGAGAAGUAGAUGUUCUCAUCAAGUAUAGUGGAUGGAUGGAUGGUCGCUUAGAUGGCCAUAUCAGAUUUCUGAGCACGAAUGCUGAAUCCAAAAAUAAAAACACUGAAAAAACUACAGACCGACCAAUGGAAUUACACUCCUUUCGCUUUGACCGCUUAAUUGCCGUAAUGGGCUGAAUAAUAAUCCUGGAUGGGCGCGGAGGUUAACCCCUCAAACUGCGACUGGAGCUUCCAUUAGGGCAAUCUUGUUGUUUGCGUAGCCAUGCCACCAAGGCCCGUAUCGAAUGUCGCUGGAGGAGUGUACUGUCGUCAUACACUAGCUUGGAACAACACUUGCUGGAUGGUUAUAAUCAAAGGGAAUUGAAAGAGUAAAAAUCAACGCGACGGCUAUAAUCACCAUUGAUUAUUUCAGAAUUGAGAAAAAUUCAAAAAAUACUGUUCCAAAUAACUAUCAGUAAACUUAAUAAAUAAAUACUCCUGAUCAAUUUGAAUAAUUUUAAUAAUUAUUCAGCAACAAAACAGAAUUGUUGGAAACAGACAACAUGAUUAUUACUUAGCUUACCACAAACUCGUUAAUUAAAUUACUAAUUGCUAAUAAAUUACCCUAAUUGUUUUCACUGAGUUAUUUACUGGUACGAUACCCACUGGUGGGAGAAAAACGAAAAAUGGGUCAACACUCAUUCAGAAAAUUACAGCACAGGUUUAUUUGACGUGAUGUUGAAAGGACCACCACUUAACGUAUCAGUCAGGUUUUCUACCUGGACAAGAAACACAACCAACAGUUACGUUCUGUAUACCUUUUAUUUGCCACAAUAAACGAAUAUGCUAAUGUGA
Tribolium madens (black flour beetle) is the source of this 1410-nucleotide long non-coding RNA. RefSeq lists it as uncharacterized. Lineage: Eukaryota; Metazoa; Arthropoda; Insecta; Coleoptera; Tenebrionidae. The record is from RefSeq and is a predicted model, not a curated record. The transcript has 4 exons.